Molecule: ribosomal RNA, 460 nt
Filed under: uncultured bacterium
Lineage: Bacteria
Description: partial 16S ribosomal RNA
Rfam family: Bacterial small subunit ribosomal RNA
Source: RNAcentral
CCUACGGGAGGCAGCAGUGAGGAAUAUUGGUCAAUGGACGAGAGUCUGAACCAGCCAAGUAGCGUGAAGGAUGACUGCCCUAUGGGUUGUAAACUUCUUUUAUAUGGGAAUAAAAUGUUCCACGUGUGGGCUUUUGUAUGUAUCAUAUGAAUAAGGAUCGGCUAACUCCGUGCCAGCAGCCGCGGUAAUACGGAGGAUCCGAGCGUUAUCCGGAUUUAUUGGGUUUAAAGGGAGCGUAGGUGGAUUGUUAAGUCAGUUGUGAAAGUUUGCGGCUCAACCGUAAAAUUGCAGUUGAAACUGGCAGUCUUGAGUACAGUAGAGGUGGGCGGAAUUCGUGGUGUAGCGGUGAAAUGCUUAGAUAUCACGAAGAACUCCGAUCGCGAAGGCAGCUCACUGGACUGCAACUGACACUGAGGCUCGAAAGUGUGGGUAUCAAACAGGAUUAGAUACCCCAGUAGUC